This 186-nucleotide non-coding RNA is filed under the name unclassified sequences. RNAcentral's name for it is "DUF2800 RNA". The stretch from base 28 to 186 matches the Rfam family "DUF2800 RNA". Rfam says of the family: Actinobacteria, Firmicutes, Synergistetes (1 example). Terminator (Clostridia) The record is from RNAcentral.
GUCCUGAGCAAGACAUUAAACUGCUCACCGCCCAAUACCGCAUCACCUGAUCACUGAUGGCUCAACGGCAUCCGGCGGCACAACUCAAUAUCACAGCUGCCUUUUGAGCGGGUUAGCUGCAAUCCGAAACGGAGAACUCCGUUAGGACUGCGGUUAGGUUUUUGCACCCUUUUUUGCGGCAGCGCC